UGAGUAACGCGUGGGUAACCUGCCCUUAAGUCUGGGAUACCAUUUGGAAACAGAUGCUAAUACCGGAUAAAAGCUACUUUCGCAUGAAAGAAGUUUAAAAGGCGGCGUAAGCUGUCGCUAAAGGAUGGACCUGCGAUGCAUUAGCUAGUUGGUAAGGUAACGGCUUACCAAGGCGAUGAUGCAUAGCCGAGUUGAGAGACUGAUCGGCCACACUGGGACUGAGACACGGCCCAAACUCCUACGGGAGGCAGCAGAA
This 256-nucleotide ribosomal RNA is filed under the name uncultured Lactobacillus sp. Its description in RNAcentral is "partial 16S ribosomal RNA". It matches the Rfam family "Bacterial small subunit ribosomal RNA", at positions 107 to 354 of the family's 1533-position model. The record is from RNAcentral. Lineage: Bacteria; Bacillati; Bacillota; Bacilli; Lactobacillales; Lactobacillaceae.